GUGAAUCAUCGAAUCUUUGAACGCAUAUUGCACUCUCUGGUAUUCCGGAGAGUAUGCCUGUUUGAGGGUAAUUUAAAAGAAUCUUUAACCAAUUUUUUUGGUCAAAGGAGAUGAGUUCUCCGCGUUUAUAGCUUUAGCUUGAAAUAAAUGGUCAAGUCUCAUUUUAUUCUAGACGCGGAAUAAUAUUAUUUCGCGAAAUCUUCAGUAUGUGACUAUCAAGUUUUUGUUGACACAAAUUU
Molecule: unclassified non-coding RNA, 239 nt
Filed under: Ambisporaceae sp.
Lineage: Eukaryota; Fungi; Glomeromycota; Glomeromycetes; Archaeosporales; Ambisporaceae
Description: partial contains 5.8S ribosomal RNA and internal transcribed spacer 2
Rfam family: 5.8S ribosomal RNA (bases 1-71)
Source: RNAcentral